GUGAAUGAUGACAGCUUGACUAGAGUCUCUGAAUGUUAUGAAGUUAUAGUAAACGCUCUGACAC
This is a non-coding RNA of Pelobates cultripes (western spadefoot toad), 64 nucleotides long. NCBI's taxonomy places the organism in Eukaryota, Metazoa, Chordata, Amphibia, Anura, Pelobatidae. The record is from the annotation of a GenBank genome assembly.